Ailuropoda melanoleuca (giant panda) is the source of this 743-nucleotide long non-coding RNA. RefSeq lists it as uncharacterized. The transcript is spliced from 3 exons. The record is from RefSeq and is a predicted model, not a curated record. NCBI's taxonomy places the organism in Eukaryota, Metazoa, Chordata, Mammalia, Carnivora, Ursidae.
UGGUUAAACCAUGCAAGCUCAGUGCUCGGAACUUCCGUUGUCUUAUCUUGAACAUCACGUACUGUUCCAGCCCCAGCCAGCCACCCAGGAAGGAAGCGCUCUGUUCCCAUUAGACAGAGGGCCUGGCCGGAGACAUGGCCACGCUGUCGAAAAGCUCUAACUGUUUUCCAUCCAAGAAAGUCAUGACAAGAUGAACCAGGAACACCCGUAUUUAUUUCACGCGCCCAUUUAUUUCUGGGAACAGAAUCGACUGUAAAAACACGAGCAACCAAAAAAAUGAAGUAGGUGACGUCACACACUCCAUUCUACGAAAUUCGAAAAUACUACACUCAGAAUGUGAAAUUUCCAACCAGCACUGGGACCCUUAGCAGGGGAGACUGGAAGCAGGUCUGAAUAAUGCAUUCAAGAUAAUUUCAAAAAAUCACCCUUUAACGAGUACCAUAUUCCCUCCAAUUUUCCCUUAUAUAUGAUUCACCAUUUUGCAAAUACUGAUGUAUAAAGAAUGCAUUGAAUGUGGCAAAAGUUGAAGAUAGCCCCUGUGGAUAAGACCUAAUGGACACCAUCCUGAAAUAAUACAUAUAGCUCAGCCUCCAGACAUGUGUCUUCAAUUUAAAAUAAUUCAGCAAUCAUGUUCAACCAGAACCUGAUUACACAAAAUGGGACUUUUUAACUCCCAGACUUGGAUCAAAUUUUGAGGCCACAAAAAAGGGGGGGGUGGAGAUAAUAUGUGCCAUGUUUAUAUA